GGGUUGUGAGGUUAAGCGACUAAGCGUACACGGUGGAUGCCCUGGCAGUCAGAGGCGAUGAAGGACGUGCUAAUCUGCGAAAAGCGACGGCGAGGUGAUAUGAACCUUUGACCCGUCGAUGUCCGAAUGGGGAAACCCAGUGCAAUCCGUUGCACUAUCGUUAACUGAAUACAUAGGUUAACGAGGCGAACCGGGGGAACUGAAACAUCUAAGUACCCCGAGGAAAAGAAAUCAACCGAGAUUCCCCCAGUAGCGGCGAGCGAACGGGGAGCAGCCCGGAGUCUGAAUCAGCUUGUGUGUUAGUGGAACGGUCUGGAAAGUCCGACGGUACAGGGUGAUAGUCCCGUACACGAAAGCACACUUGCUGUGAACUCGAAGAGUAGGGCGGGACACGUGGUAUCCUGUCUGAAUAUGGGGGGACCAUCCUCCAAGGCUAAAUACUCCUGACUGACCGAUAGUGAACCAGUACCGUGAGGGAAAGGCGAAAAGAACCCCGGCGAGGGGAGUGAAAAAGAACCUGAAACCGUGUACGUACAAGCAGUGGGAGCCUCUUU
Molecule: ribosomal RNA, 554 nt
Filed under: Enterobacter cancerogenus
Lineage: Bacteria; Pseudomonadati; Pseudomonadota; Gammaproteobacteria; Enterobacterales; Enterobacteriaceae
Description: partial 23S ribosomal RNA
Rfam family: Bacterial large subunit ribosomal RNA
Source: RNAcentral